ACAGUACUAGACAGACCAGACAGACCACACAGUACCAGGCAGACUAGACAGACCAGACAGACCAGACAGUACCAGGCAGACCAGACAGUACUAGACAGACCAGACAGACCAGACAGUACCAGGCAGACUAGACAGACCAGACAGACCAGACAGUACCAGGCAGACCAGACAGUACUAGACAGACCAGACAGACCAUACAGUACUAGACAGACCAGACAGACCAGACAGUACCAGACAGACUAGACAGGCCAGAGAGACUAGACAGACCAGACAGACCAUACAGUACCAGGCAGACUAGACAGUACUAGACAGACUAGACAGACCAGACAGACCAGACAGUACCAGACAGACUAGACAGACCAGACAGACCAGACAGUACCAGACAGACUAGACAGACCAGACAGACUAGACAGACCAGACAGACCAGACAGUACCAGACAGACUAGACAGGCCAGAGAGACGAGACAGACCAGACAGACCAUACAGUACCAGGCAGACUAGACAGUACUAGACAGACUAGACAGACCAGACAGACCAGACAGUACCAGACAGACUAGACAGACCAGACAGCCUAGACAGACCAGACAGUACCAGACAGACCAGACAGUACUAGACAGACCAUACAGUACUAGACAGACCAGACAGACUAGACAGACCAGACAGUACUAGACAGACCAUACAGUACCAGACAGACCAGACAGUACCAGACAGUACCAGACAGACCAGACAGUACCAGACAGUACUAGGCAGACCAGACAGUACCAGACAGUACUAGGCAGACCAGACAGACCAGACAGUACUAGGCAGUACCAGACAGUACCAGACAGACUAGACAGACCAGACAGACCAGACAGACCAGACAGUACCAGACAGUACCAGACAGACCAGACAGUACCAUACAGACCAGACAGAACAGACAGUACCAGACAGUACCAGGCAGACCAGACAGUACUAGACAGUACCAGACAGUACUAGACAGACCAGACAGAACAGACAGUACUAGACAGUACCAGACAGUACUAGGUAGACCAGACAGUACCAGACAGUACUAGACAGACCAGACAGACCAGACAGAACAGACAGUACCAGACAGUACCAGACAGUACUAGACAGUACCAGACAGACCAGACAGUACUAGGCAGACCAGACAGUACCAGACAGUACUAGACAGACCAGACAGACCAGACAGUACCAGACAGUACUAGACAGACCAGACAGACCAGACAGUACCAGACAGUACUAGACAGUACCAGACAGACCAGACAGACCAGACAGACCAGACAGUACUAGACAGUACCAGACAGUACUAGACAGAACAGACAGUACCAGACAGUACCAGACAGUACUAGACAGAACAGACAGUACCAGACAGUACUAGACAGAACAGACAGUACCAGACAGACCAGACAGUAUCAGACAGUACUAGACAGAACAGACAGACCAGACAGUACCAGACAGUACCAGACAGACCAGACAGUACCAGACAGUACCAGACAGACCAGACAGUACCAGACAGUACCAGACAGACCAGACAGUACCAGACAGUACUAGACAGAACAGACAUACCAGACAGUACCAGACAGUACCAGACAGUACCAGAAAGACCAGACAGUACCAGACAGUACCAGACAGUACCAGACAGAACAGACAGUACCAGACAGUACCAGACAGUACCAGAAAGACCAGACAGUACCAGACAGUACCAGACAGACCAGACAGUACUAGACAGACCAGACAGUACCAGAAAGACCAGACAGUACCAGACAGUACCAGACAGACCAGACAUACACACUGACUCCAGCAUCAUCCCCAGACUAUCUGGUAUGGUAUUAUAGCUAAUCUCCUUUUGCCAAGAGGCUCAGAGAAAAUACUACUGUUUAAGAGCUCAGGGAUUGCUGGGGGAAAAAAAAUGUGACAAUCUCUUUU
Molecule: long non-coding RNA, 1926 nt
Organism: Oncorhynchus tshawytscha (Chinook salmon)
Lineage: Eukaryota; Metazoa; Chordata; Actinopteri; Salmoniformes; Salmonidae
Source: Ensembl